RNAcentral lists this ribosomal RNA (465 nucleotides) under uncultured bacterium. Its description in RNAcentral is "partial 16S ribosomal RNA". It matches the Rfam family "Bacterial small subunit ribosomal RNA", at positions 28 to 507 of the family's 1533-position model. The record is from RNAcentral.
GACGAACGCUGGCGGCGUGCUUAACACAUGCAAGUCGAACGGAAAGGCCCCUUUGGGGGUACUCGAGUGGCGAACGGGUGAGUAACACGUGAGUAACCUGCCCUUGACUUCGGGAUAACCUCAGGAAACUGGGGCUAAUACCGGAUAGGAAUCCUUGCUGCAUGGUGGGGGUUGGAAAGCUGCGGCGGUUUUGGAUGGACUCGCGGCCUAUCAGCUUGUUGGUGGGGUAGUGGCUUACCAAGGCUUUGAUUGGUAGCCGGCCUGAGAGGGCGACCGGCCACAUUGACACUGAGAUGCGGCCCAGACUCCGACGGGUGGCAGCAGUGGGGAAUAUUGCACAAUGAGCGGAAGCCUGAUGCAGCAACGCCGCGUGCGGGAUGACGGCCUUCGGGUUGUAAACCGCUUUCAGCACGAGCGAAGCUUGUGGUGACGGUACCUGCAGAAGAAGCACCGGCUAACUACGUG